RNAcentral lists this ribosomal RNA (1200 nucleotides) under Acanthonotozomellidae gen. n. sp. n. MLV-2016. RNAcentral describes it as "partial 28S ribosomal RNA". It matches the Rfam family "Eukaryotic large subunit ribosomal RNA", at positions 104 to 843 of the family's 3401-position model. The record is from RNAcentral. Lineage: Eukaryota; Metazoa; Arthropoda; Malacostraca; Amphipoda; Acanthonotozomellidae.
AGCCCAGCGCAUAACCUCCCGGGCUACCAAGCCUGCGGCGGAAUGUUGCGUUAAGGGAAAGGUCGUUUCAAAGCUCUGUACAACAUAGCCCAAGUUUGGCUUGAAUUUCCACUGUAUCUUAACGGAUAUACCGACUCCACAGAGGGUGUCAGACCCGUGUGGCUAUGUGGUAAAAUGUACGCGAGUUCGGCUUUAUUCCCUGAGAGUCGCGUUGCUUGAGAUUGCAGCGCUAAGCAGGACGUAAACUCGUCCUAAGGCUAAAUAUAUUCACAGAACCGAUAGUAAACAAGUACCGUGAGGGAAAGUUGAAAAGCACUCUGAAGAGAGAGUCAAAAGACCGUGAAACCGCUUAGAGUACAGGCCAAUGGUAUACUGGAAGGCUUGGAGCCAGCGUUCCCCUUGUGGGAUUGGUGCUAUCGUGUAUGGAUAAAAGGAGGCAUGCUGGGGAAGAAAGUGGCAUUGAGUUGAUAACACACCGUCACACACCUCACGGGCUACUGACAGUGGUAACAGGUGAUGUUCUAAUGAGGAACUGACCCGAGGCUGGGCUUGAGUGAGCAGUGGCUUUGAGUCAUACAAACGAGUGGCUUUCAAUACAGCCAUACCGCAAUCCUUUGUAAGGUCUCCCUUAUGAGGUGUCAUGCUAUAAAGAGUCGUGGCGUGCUCGAGUGAAUAUGUUUCGAUCACUCGGCCGGCCGACUCUUGCGCUGAUUUGCCCAGACAUAAGUGGAAUGAUCCUUGGCGAAGAUUGUUUCUGACCUGCUGAUGCCCAAUAGGUCUCCAAGGAGCUGGAUAGGUCUUCCUGCGCGGGAGGCCCCGGUGUGGGUGACUGCUGACUCCCUGUGGGUUCAGGCUGUUCGGUAUCUUAUUCCAGUGCCAUCGGUCACGUCUCGAAACACGGGCCAAGGAGCAUAGCAUGUGCGCAAGUCUAAGGGAUAAGAAAUCCUGGAGGCGAAGCGAGAGCGAUGGUGUGUCUGUAGUUUGUCUUUUUGACAUCUGCUUACAGCUUACGAAGAGCGUAAUUCCCGAUCGGAUGACUGCGUUGCUGGCUUAAACUGAGUUGAUCCCAAUCGUAAUCAAGCCUUCAAGGCGAUACGAGGGCGCAAACUCCGGGCUCUCUUAACAAGGGCGUUGCCCUUGAAGAGAGCACUGUGGAGCGUGCAUGCUAUAACCCGAAAGAUAGUGAACUAUGCCUGGCGA